AGUGAACGCUGGCGGUAGGCCUAACACAUGCAAGUCGAACGGCAGCACACUAAUAGCUUGCUCUGACGGGUGGCGAGUGGCGGUCGGGUGAGGAAAACAUCCGAAUCUACUUUUUCGUGCAGGAUAACGUGAGUGAACUUACGCUAAUACCUCAUACUAGCUACGGGUGAAAUCAUGAGAGCUUCGGACCUUGCGCGACUUAAUGAGCCGAUGUCGGGUUAGCUAGUUGACGGGGUAACGGCCCACCGAGGCGUCGAUACGUAGCUGGUCUGAGCGGAUGAUCAGGCACACUGGAACUGAGACACGGUCAAGAGUGCUACGGGAGGCAGCCGUGAGGAAUAUUGGACGAAGGGCGGAAGAAUGAUGCAGACAUGGCGCGUGGGUGAAGAAGGAAUUCGGUGUGUAAAGACCAUUUGUUGGGAAAGAAAAGUAGCAGGUUAAUACCACGCUGUUCUGACGGUACCCAAAGAAUAAGCAACGGCUAACUUCGUG
Molecule: ribosomal RNA, 492 nt
Filed under: uncultured bacterium
Lineage: Bacteria
Description: partial 16S ribosomal RNA
Rfam family: Bacterial small subunit ribosomal RNA
Source: RNAcentral